Long non-coding RNA from Chiroxiphia lanceolata (lance-tailed manakin), 485 nucleotides. RefSeq lists it as uncharacterized. NCBI's taxonomy places the organism in Eukaryota, Metazoa, Chordata, Aves, Passeriformes, Pipridae. The transcript is spliced from 3 exons. The record is from RefSeq and is a predicted model, not a curated record.
AACGCAGCCAUUCCCCUGCUGCCAGCGAACCGUCAGCAGCUCGCAGCGAACCCCUGUCACCUACUGCCACACCACCCUUCACCCUGGUCCAAGACCACCUUUCCCCCUGCUCCCAGCUCCCGAUCCUUACCAGCUCCCUGAUAGUCCGUCAGUCCAGAACUCUCCCUGCUGACUGGAUUUCAGCAUCGAUCCUGCAGGAUGUGCAGCCUUGUCCCAGUGAAGGGUGUCAGAGACACCGAGGAAGCCAUGGAUGUGGACAUGGAUGGUGAUGGUGAAGAGAGUAUGGAAGUGGACCUGGAAGAGUAUGUGGAGGAGAUGGAGGUGGACAUGCAAGAGGAAGAAGAGAUGGACGUGGAAGAGGAAGGCGAAAAGGAGGAGGCCAUGGUGCUGGGAUGAGGAGAGUCCCCCAUCAGCAGCAGGACUGACGGACACACUGACCAUGGAAUCGGCCAUGGUGUAUAUAUGUUCUCCAUGUUGUUUCGUGG